This 331-nucleotide long non-coding RNA is filed under the name Vigna radiata. RNAcentral's name for it is "long non-coding RNA (VRAD_LNC013853)". Lineage: Eukaryota; Viridiplantae; Streptophyta; Magnoliopsida; Fabales; Fabaceae. The record is from RNAcentral.
AGCUACUGAAUAUUCAAAGAAAAAGAGGAAUAGAGAAGGGAUCUGGAAACAAAGGAAGAGGAAACCAGAGUCUGGAAUAAGGUUGGAGGAAAGGAAUUGAAGACAAGAUCAGAAAGGAUAAUUACACAGCAAUAGUGACAAAAGGAAUCUACUGGAAAGAAACAAAAAGAGGAAUGGAGGAGGAAGCGAGCAUGGAGAAAACCAAAGAAGAGUGGUAAGCAGGGGGAAAUGGGAGAGAAAGGAGACAAGGACAAUUUUCUAAAUCUACGAAGGUAAGUUUUUUCUAUAUUAGUUGUUUGGUCUAACUCGUCUUAUGAAUCAAUGUUUCCUA